AUUGAACGCUGGCGGCAUGCUUUACACAUGCAAGUCGAGCGGCAGCGCGGGGGCAACCCUGGCGGCGAGCGGCGGACGGGUGAGUAAUGCAUCGGAACGUAUCCCGUAGUGGGGGACAACCCAGCGAAAGCUGGGCUAAUACCGCAUAUGCUCUACGGAGGAAAGCAGGGGACUCGCAAGAGCCUUGUGCUAUGGGAGCGGCCGAUGUCCGAUUAGCUAGUUGGUGGGUAAAGGCUUACCAAGGCGACGAUCGGUAGCUGGUCUGAGAGGAUGAUCAGCCACACUGGGACUGAGACACGGCCCAGACUCCUACGGAGGCAGCAGUGGGAAUUUUGGACAAUGGGGGCAACCCUGAUCCAGCCAUGCCGCGUGCGGAAGAAGG
This 382-nucleotide ribosomal RNA is filed under the name uncultured bacterium. RNAcentral describes it as "bacterial SSU rRNA". It matches the Rfam family "Bacterial small subunit ribosomal RNA", at positions 29 to 414 of the family's 1533-position model. The record is from RNAcentral.